This 88-nucleotide transfer RNA is filed under the name Rickettsiales bacterium. Its description in RNAcentral is "tRNA-Leu". It matches the Rfam family "tRNA". From Rfam's summary of the family: Transfer RNA (tRNA) molecules are approximately 80 nucleotides in length. Their secondary structure includes four short double-helical elements and three loops (D, anti-codon, and T loops). The record is from RNAcentral. Lineage: Bacteria; Pseudomonadati; Pseudomonadota; Alphaproteobacteria; Rickettsiales.
GCGGUCGUGGUGGAAUUGGUAGACACGCAGCGUUGAGGUCGCUGUGGCUCACAAGGCCUUGGAAGUUCAAGUCUUCUCGACCGCACCA